Long non-coding RNA from Acanthopagrus latus (yellowfin seabream), 918 nucleotides. RefSeq lists it as uncharacterized. The record is from RefSeq and is a predicted model, not a curated record. Lineage: Eukaryota; Metazoa; Chordata; Actinopteri; Spariformes; Sparidae. The transcript is spliced from 3 exons.
GCUCCUGUUCCUUGCUCCUGUUCCUUGCUCCUGUUCCUUGCUCCUGUUCCUGUUCUCUUUGAACCACUAUACUCCUCCUGCAACAUAAAUCUGCAUUCCCGUGAAGAAAAUGAAGUCCAAUUCCAGCAGAGCAGGAAAUACAAGUGUCUUCGUAUUCAGCACCACUACAGCCACCAGCCAGGUUUUAUCCUGUAGGCUCAGUUCCAUCUCCACCCAACCGAGGGGCAUCCUGGAUUCCCCGUCAGCCAGAUAGAGUGGAUCUCCAAUCCAUGGGCUGCUGUCCCAGUCUCACCAGUUUAUCCACAGUAGCAACUCGGAGCUGGCUUGCCAUAUGUGGAUUGACGUUCCUGAAGAUCGGUUUGAGCACUGCAGCCUUCUGAAUAUCAGGCUUCCAGAUUUGACAUAAGGAGCGGUACAUAUAGAUAAAAUCGCAGAUGCUUUCCCCCUCUCCUUGUACUCUUGUCAUCACUCUUUCUGCCAAUUCAUCCUCAUGGCCUUCAGACAAAAAGGUAGCACAUAACUUUUUCUGAAAUCUGACCAGGAAUGUGUGUUUAAACGGGCCACAUCAACUCGUCUUCCGUCAGAGGAUUUGAUGCCAUAUAAUCAUUACAUUUCUCCAGGGGAUCCUGUUCAUUCUCCAUCUUCCCAAAUGAUGGAAACUGCAGCUUAACAGGACAUUUUCCUAUCAACGGUCCCCUGCCUUCAGGCAGAACAGGACCUCUAACAUACCUGCCUUUAUUUCGCACCUUAUAGUAGACUGUGGGCGCUGCCUCUGGACCUCGCCCAGCUAAUCACCAGUUGGGGCCUCUUUGGUAGGGACAGUUGUAAGUGCAGACAGGGGCGGUUAUGGGCAGCAUUCGUGGAGGGGCAGCAUGAGCGCCAGCAAAAAUAAUUAAAUAAAUAAUUAUAUAAAUAUUA